Molecule: ribosomal RNA, 631 nt
Filed under: uncultured Bacteroidales bacterium
Lineage: Bacteria; Pseudomonadati; Bacteroidota; Bacteroidia; Bacteroidales
Description: bacterial SSU rRNA
Rfam family: Bacterial small subunit ribosomal RNA
Source: RNAcentral
UGGUGGCGACCGGCGCACGGGUGAGUAACGCGUAUGCAACCCAUCUAUCAGAGGGGAAUAACCCGGCGAAAGUCGGACUAAUACCGCAUAAAACAGGGACACCGCAUGGUGAUAUUUGUUAAAGAAAUUCGCUGAUAGAUGGGCAUGCGUUCCAUUAGGUAGUUGGUGAGGUAACGGCUCACCAAGCCGACGAUGGAUAGGGGAACUGAGAGGUUGGUCCCCCACACUGGUACUGAGACACGGACCAGACUCCUACGGGAGGCAGCAGUGAGGAAUAUUGGUCAAUGGGCGAGAGCCUGAACCAGCCAAGUCGCGUGAAGGAAGAAGGAUCUAUGGUUCGUAAACUUCUUUUGCAGGGGAAUAAAGUGCAGGACGUGUCCUGUUUUGUAUGUACCCUGAGAAUAAGGAUCGGCUAACUCCGUGCCAGCAGCCGCGGUAAUACGGAGGAUCCGAGCGUUAUCCGGAUUUAUUGGGUUUAAAGGGUGCGUAGGUGGUUUGAUAAGUCAGCGGUGAAAGUUUGCAGCUUAACUGUAAAAAUGCCGUUGAAACUGUCGGACUUGAGUGUAAAUGAGGUAGGCGGAAUGCGUGGUGUAGCGGUGAGAUGCUUAGAUAUCACGAAGAACUCCGAUUG